UCCGUAGGUGAACCUGCGGAAGGAUCAUUAAUGAGUUAGGGUCUUCUAGGCUCGACCUCCCAACCCUUUGUGUACUAGACCUCUGUUGCUUCGGCAGGCCCGUCUCAAACUGACCGCUGGAGGACCGCCUGUCACGGGUGUUCUCUCUGGCCAGUGUCUGCCGAUAGCCUAAUCUCUUAACUCUGGAUCAAUCAUGAUUUACAAUGUCUAAGGUGAAUUUUAUUCAAUUAAAAGCAAAAACUUUCAACAACGGAUCUCUUGGUUCUGGCAUCGAUGAAGAACGCAGCGAAAUGCGAUAAGUAAUGCGAAUUGCAGAAUUCCAGUGAGUCAUCGAAUCUUUGAACGCACAUUGCGCCCUUUGGUAUUCCGAAGGGCAUGCCUGUUCGAGCGUCAUUAUCACCCCCUCAAGCCCCCUGUGCUUGGUGUUGGACGGUUUGGUGGAGCGAGUUCACACUUUCCACCCCUCCUAAAGACAAUGACGGCGGCCUGCGGAACCCCCGGUACACUGAGCUUCUUAACUGAGCACGUAUCGGAUGAAGGGUGCCCGGGACCCGGUCUUCUCCCUCACGGGAACACUUUUUUUCAAAGGUUGACCUCGGAUCAGGUAGGAAUACGCGCUGAACUUAAGCAUAUCAAUAAGCGGAGGA
RNAcentral lists this small RNA (647 nucleotides) under Fonsecaea pedrosoi. Its description in RNAcentral is "eukaryotic LSU rRNA". The stretch from base 239 to 393 matches the Rfam family "5.8S ribosomal RNA". Lineage: Eukaryota; Fungi; Ascomycota; Eurotiomycetes; Chaetothyriales; Herpotrichiellaceae. The record is from RNAcentral.